Molecule: ribosomal RNA, 322 nt
Filed under: uncultured eukaryote
Lineage: Eukaryota
Description: partial 18S ribosomal RNA
Rfam family: Eukaryotic small subunit ribosomal RNA
Source: RNAcentral
CCCUUAGAUGUUCUGGGCCGCACGCGUGCUACACUGAUGCAUUCAACGAGUCUAAAACCUGGUCUGAUAGGGCUGGGUAAUCUUUUGAAAGUGCAUCGUGAUUGGGAUAGAUGAUUGCAAUUCUUCAUCUUCAACGAGGAAUGCCUAGUAAACGCAAGUCAUCAGCUUGCAUUGAUUACGUCCCUGCCCUUUGUACACACCGCCCGUCGCACCUACCGAUUGAAUGGUCCGGUGAAAUCUCGGGACGGCGGCUUGGUCGCUUGCGUCCGACUGCUGAAACUUGAUUAAACCAUAUCAUUUAGAGGAAGGUGAAGUCGUANCA